AAACUCCCAGUGUCGUUGCAGGGUAGGGUGCAAUUAAAGACGAACCGGUUCUGAUAGCAAUCGUGUAUUGAAGUGCUUCAACUAGAAAAUAUUGUUAUGGUGAGUGCAAAUGGUACCCUACGGUUUCACAGGACCGCGGAUACGGACUCGGACUACGCUACUCGAACUCGGACUACUAAAGGAUCACGAUGUCAAUUUAAUAUUUCAAUUCAUGGCUGGAGGGCCUAAAACUAACCUCACUUCCUGAUGGUCCCGGGCCGGCGAUUCCGGACGGCUAUUCCGGACGGACACUCCGGCGGAUCUCUUCCUGGGCACAAUAAACUUGUCCACAGAACGUGGAAUGAAUUCACAA
Long non-coding RNA from Aedes albopictus (Asian tiger mosquito), 352 nucleotides. RefSeq lists it as uncharacterized. NCBI's taxonomy places the organism in Eukaryota, Metazoa, Arthropoda, Insecta, Diptera, Culicidae. The record is from RefSeq and is a predicted model, not a curated record. The transcript has 2 exons.